AGGCCUAACACAUGCAAGUCGAGCGGUAACAGAUCUAGCUUGCUAGAUGCUGACGAGCGGCGGACGGGUGAGUAAUGCAUAGGAAUCUGCCCGGUAGUGGGGGAUAACCUGGGGAAACCCAGGCUAAUACCGCAUACGUCCUACGGGAGAAAGGGGGCUUCGGCUCCCGCUACGGGAUGAGCCUAUGUCGGAUUAGCUAGUUGGUAGGGUAAAGGCCUACCAAGGCAACGAUCCGUAGCUGGUCUGAGAGGAUGAUCAGCCACAUCGGGACUGAGACACGGCCCGAACUCCUACGGGAGGCAGCAGUGGGGAAUAUUGGACAAUGGGGGCAACCCUGAUCCAGCCAUGCCGCGUGUGUGAAGAAGGCCUUCGGGUUGUAAAGCACUUUCAGCGAGGAAGAACGCCUAGCGGUUAAUACCCGUUAGGAAAGACAUCACUCGCAGAAGAAGCACCGGCUAACUCCGUGCCAGCAGCCGCGGUAAUACGGAGGGUGCAAGCGUUAAUCGGAAUUACUGGGCGUAAAGCGCGCGUAGGUGGCUUGAUAAGCCGGUUGUGAAAGCCCCGGGCUCAACCUGGGAACGGCAUCCGGAACUGUCAGGCUAGAGUGCAGGAGAGGAAGGUAGAAUUCCCGGUGUAGCGGUGAAAUGCGUAGAGAUCGGGAGGAAUACCAGUGGCGAAGGCGGCCUUCUGGACUGACAC
This 699-nucleotide ribosomal RNA is filed under the name Halomonas sp. M12-2A. RNAcentral describes it as "bacterial SSU rRNA". It matches the Rfam family "Bacterial small subunit ribosomal RNA", at positions 44 to 740 of the family's 1533-position model. The record is from RNAcentral. Lineage: Bacteria; Pseudomonadati; Pseudomonadota; Gammaproteobacteria; Oceanospirillales; Halomonadaceae.